Equus asinus (donkey) is the source of this 137-nucleotide microRNA precursor. NCBI's taxonomy places the organism in Eukaryota, Metazoa, Chordata, Mammalia, Perissodactyla, Equidae. The record is from Ensembl.
GCAGGGUCACUACAUUUAACCAUACUGUGUGCAGUGCUCCACUCCAAAGAGUGCCAUUCAGGUGUAGGAAAGUAUGAUUGGCACUUUUUUGAGUGUGGUAAUUCACAACAUAUACGACCACAUGUGUUGGCCCUGGG